UUUUUUGAAGAUUAUCUAGUUAAAAAAUAAGAAAAAGUUUUGGAUUAGUUUGAGAUAAUGGGGCUCAAACAGGGGCUAUGUAUACAUACGAUAUUCAAACAAUUUUGAGCAAAUUAGACAUUCACUAUCACAACUAGAUCAAAUAUACUUUUUAUCAGUACAUAUUAUAAGACCCAGAACUUAUUAUAAAUUUAUUUUCCAAAUAUUUCGUAGUACCUACAACUUAUAAGCACUACCAAGCAAGAAUACUAAAUGGAUAGUAAGUUGUGUGCAAAAGAGGAGAUGCUGACAUUGCACACAACAAAAGCAUAAUUAGGAGUUCCUUGUGUUCCAUGCAUCGAACUUGAAUCAUUUGUAAUUUCUUUUACUCAAAUGAUUGAAGCAAUUUAAAAUUCCCAUCCCUCCAAAGCCCCUUCUUCACAUCGAACUGAAUUUUCACUCUGACCUUUUACCCUAAUGAUGAAUAUGAUGCCAAUUCCUCAAAAUAAUAUAAUUAAUGCAUGGCCUCCUGGCCCUCCUCAUUGAAUACUUG
This 532-nucleotide long non-coding RNA is filed under the name Olea europaea subsp. europaea. The record is from RNAcentral. Lineage: Eukaryota; Viridiplantae; Streptophyta; Magnoliopsida; Lamiales; Oleaceae.